RNAcentral lists this ribosomal RNA (478 nucleotides) under uncultured bacterium. Its description in RNAcentral is "partial 16S ribosomal RNA". It matches the Rfam family "Bacterial small subunit ribosomal RNA", at positions 28 to 523 of the family's 1533-position model. The record is from RNAcentral.
GACGAACGCUGGCGGCGUGCUUAACACAUGCAAGUCGAACGGUAAGGCCCUUCGGGGUACACGAGUGGCGAACGGGUGAGUAACACGUGGGUGAUCUGCCCUACACUUCGGGAUAAGCCUGGGAAACUGGGUCUAAUACCGGAUAGGACCACUGCCUGCAUGGGUGGUGGUGGAAAGCUUUUGCGGUGUGGGAUGGGCCCGCGGCCUAUCAGGUUGUUGGUGGGGUGAUGGCAUACCAAGGCGACGACGGGUAGCCGGCCUGAGAGGGUGACCGGCCACACUGGGACUGAGAUACGGCCCAGACUCCUACGGGAGGCAGCAGUGGGGAAUAUUGCACAAUGGGCGCAAGCCUGAUGCAGCGACGCCGCGUGAGGGAUGACGGCCUUCGGGUUGUAAACCUCUUUCAGCACCGACGAAGCGCAAGUGACGGUAGGUGCAGAAGAAGGACCGGCCAACUACGUGCCAGCCGCCGCCGUAA